Molecule: unclassified non-coding RNA, 371 nt
Filed under: Hevea brasiliensis (rubber tree)
Lineage: Eukaryota; Viridiplantae; Streptophyta; Magnoliopsida; Malpighiales; Euphorbiaceae
Source: RNAcentral
AAGUACCAUCUUCCCAUAACACUAUCAUGGUAUAAAGGAUUUAUGCCACAAAAGUAUAGAUAAAUAGGAGUCGCCAUUCGAGUAAUAAUCGGGACAUAUUCAUUAUUUCUUCCAAGGGACAUUUGAGUGAGGAAUUAAUUUCCAAAGGGACAAUCAAAGAGACUUGAUUCAUGCACUUAAUUUUCUGAUAGGGUUGUGGAUGGCAACUUAUUUCUUGUAGAGAUUCUACAACCAUCGUCACCAUAGCUCAAUGUUUAGGUUUGAGAUAGUGGAUACAUAAACGGAUAGUGCUAGGUACCCCUUACACCUAGUUUAACCUCAUUAAUUUUAGUGUCAGUCCUCUACUAAUAUUUUUAAAAGUCUUAUUUAUU